AUGGGGAAACUCAUGAAGGCUUUUGGUAAGGGCACUUCUGCUGCUUGUGUUGAAGAUUGUGAAGAUUCAGAUGGGGAUCCUUUUGUCCCCAAUGAUUUUGUCGAGGAUGAUCCUUUUCAAGCUUCGGAGGAAAGUCAUAUGGAUGAUCCUGAUUUGGAGAAAGCUUUGUAUGAGUUCUACGUGUCUCAUAAAGUGAAUUGCUUAAAACGGAAGAUUACAAAUGCUGGAGCUCGCAAUGUGAAGCGCAAGAGGUCUUCUGAUUUUCCUGUAGCCAUUACAUUCACUAGAUACUCUGGCAAGUUGUUCUCCACCGUUAUUGAGAUUCAGUUUAGGAAGAAGUUUAUUCUGAUUCCCAAAUAUGUCAAACAUGACAUCUUAGAUCUUCCUAUUGAUGGUGAGCCCAUUAUGUCCGAUGCUGAGGCUGGGCGUGAGUUUAUCUUGUCCCAUUUCAAUGUGACCAGCAUCCCAUCGGUUUCUUUCUUCUACAAUACACUCAAAUCUGAAGAAUUGCCUGAUGAAGACAUUUUCAUCUGCUUCAUGUGUAUUUCCUUGUCCACUUUCUUGUGUCCAAAUUCAAGCCUUUCUCCUAGUCCCAAAUAUCUCCAUAUUUUCAGAUAUUGUAGUUCUGUGAUGAACUAUGAUUUAUCUAGAUUGGUAUAUGAGAGUCUCCUUGGCAAUAUUAAGAAGUUUAAGGAUUCUAUGAAGGUUGCUUCUAUGAGAUCAAUGACAUUUGGCGGUUGUCACUACGCAUUCGCUGUCGAUUUUACAGUGUAA
This 774-nucleotide ribosomal RNA is filed under the name Triticum aestivum (bread wheat). RNAcentral's name for it is "partial small subunit ribosomal RNA". Lineage: Eukaryota; Viridiplantae; Streptophyta; Magnoliopsida; Poales; Poaceae. The record is from RNAcentral.